AUGGGGACACUGAGCCUCAGAGAGAAGAACGAUGUGGCCAGGGUCCCGCAGCGAGGAUGCGGCAGAAUCAGGAUUGGAACCCAGACCUGUCUGACUCCAGAGCUUUCGGGGACUAGGAUUCUUUCUGCACGCCUUUCUCUCUCGCCAAGGUAAAGACUCCAAAGCUCAGAAGAGUAAGUUGACUUGCUCAGAAACACAGAGCCAGUGGUUGUGUGGUGCAGACAAGAAGCCAGGAGUCUGUGAUUCAAGGCCAGGAAUACCACCAUGUCUUGCUGUAUAUCUUUCAGGACUCUGUGACUCAGUUUUUCUGCAGGUUACUGUAUGAUUCUCUGGAGCAGGGUACAAGGAGACACCUUGAAGCUUGCUGGAUGCCUCAGAGGGAAGUGAGAGAGAAACAAGCACCAGAGAAGGCAGAGUGAGGAAACAGAGAAAUUGGGACUUUGGAGACAUUGUUUGAGCUGCUGGACCAAGCCUUGCCUGAAAGCAGCAUAUCUAGACUUCAACAUCCCCACUCUGAGGAGCUUCUGGGAGAGUUGGCUAGGUCUUUCCCAAGCCUGGGAAGCAGAAGCCGGGGCAGAUUAACAAUGCCAAUUACUAAGAUCCUGCAGUCGAUGAAAGGUUGGUGUUUUGCAGCCACUUCCUUAGCUGGACAAUGAGGGAGCUGACCUUUCUGUGCUCAAUAAACCAAUUGCCACUAGAGAGUAGGUUCCCUGGUGACCAGGAACCAAAAGCCAAGUUGCAGAUAUCAUUUCUGGGGGGUGGUGGCAGGGGGAAGGAGAAAGGAGAUAGGUGCUGGGGGUUGGGAAGCCUGGGUUUCGAUCCUGCGCCACUAUGUGGCUUGGGGCAGUCACUCCCUGAGCACUUCUGCACUUAGUAGGCACCUGCUGUGUGCCUGGACCCUGUAGACCAAUGUCAUUUGUGGUCAUCUUACAAAAGGACUCAGGGAUGCAGAGGAGGAGACUGCAGGAUCACUUUGUCCAAUCCUCUGGUUGUACAAGUUGGGAAACCAAAUCCCAGAGAAAGACUUAGCCCCUGAAGGCUGCCCAUGGGACGGUCCUUCCACAGUAACCUGUGCAUCACACUUGGUGGUUUACAGAGCCCUCUCUGACCCACUCUGACCACAGUCUCCCCACCGUCCCCGAGGAGACUAGAUCUGGAAGAGGAUAUUUCUUGGAUCUGGUCACCUGGCAGAGAUGAAACUCUGAUGAGAGGCUGCCCAUGCUUCACCUGCCUCCCUCCCCCUGAAGCACCUGAUCCAGGGUUGGCCUGCACCAGGAGCACUUUCCUUCUCCCAGGAGGAGAUCUGCCCUUCUCUAACUCCAACACUUUGUUAGAACCCUGAAGGUAGAGGAGCCAGACAGACCUGGGUUUGAGUCCUGACUUUGGCACUGAUGGACUGCGGGACUCUGCCCUUUACCUUAAGAUCUCAGGCCGGGUGCGGUGGCUCAUGCCUGUAAUCCCAGCACUUUGGGAGGCCGAGGUGGGUGGAUCACGAGGUCAGGAGAUGGAGACCAGCCUGGCCAACAUGGUGAAACCCUGUCUCUACUAAAAAUACAAUAAUUAGCCGGGCCUGGUGGCGGGCGCCUGUAAUCCCAGCUACUCAGGAGGCUGAGGCAGGAGAAUUGCUUGAACCCAGGAGGCAGAGGUUGCAGUGAGCCGAGAUUGUGUCACUGCACUCCAGCCUGGGUGAUAGAACAAGAUUCUGUCUCAAAAAAAAAAAAAAAAAUCUCAGGAUUCAAAGAGAUGGUGCAUGUGAGGAUAAACCUGCCCAGCCCUGCCUUGCCUUAAGCCACGAAUGUGAGGGCUCCAGAUACAUCUGUGGACGUCACUGAGAUGCGCCUGGGCUGCCUUCUCAUUUCUGGCCUCUGUGCUUCUGAGAGCCCUCUUCUCUCAAUUGAAGCCCCCUUUCUACCCCUGCCAUUCUUUUGCCCUUCCAAUUCCUGUAUCCUAGGAGUAAGGCUGGAGAAUGAGUGGAAAGAAGACACCUUUGCUUGGGAAUCUUUCAGAUGCCAGCUGGCAUGGGUUUUUGCCCUGGCUUUGAGCUGAGCCUCAGCCAAGGACUGAUCCCCUGCCUGCAGCAGUUCCAGGGAGAUGCUGUUGCUGAUGGUCCAGGGACCACACUUUUGAGAACCACGUGGCUGGAUGAACUCAGAUUCUUUUGAGUAGUGACAUUGAAUGGCUUCUUCCAAGUACUGCUGAGUCCGCUGGUUUCCCUUGUGAUCCAUGACCCACUUCCCCAGUGACUCUGCUCACAUGGGUCCUGACAGAGAUGAUGUCCUGCGAGUUUUCUGGCAAACCCAGAGGAGAGGUCCAGAGAGUGGAUCCGGGGGCUUUGCAGCAAUGGAGUGGGCUUUCAGCAAACUCAAACAUGGCACAGGUUCCAUGAUGGCCAGAGCCAGCUCUUGGAGUCUCUCCUCUUCUUGCCUUUGUCCCUAGCACUGAGCUCAGUGCCUGGACAUAGUAGCUGCCCAGCAGAUAUAUGAUGGCUAAAUGUAAACUGGAUGUCUCACAGUGUGUUCAGGAUAGAGCCAGGAUAGAACCUGGCUCUUCUGGGAGAGAACACCAGUGCCUGCUUUGGGCUGACAAGUCCUUUAUGUGUGCAUUAAUGCUGUGCGAUUGGAAGGGCUGGAGUUGGAGGUGAGAGCAAACCUACAGAAAGGGGCCAUUAGGUGUGGUCUCUACAAAGCAGGGCAGGGGACAUACACCUGUCAGGUCAUCACUGUGUCCCUGGUGCUCACACCAUGCCUGUCCCAGAAACAGGCUUCAUAACUAUUGUCAGAUUAGCAGAUGAAAGAGGUAGGUUCCUAACUCAGGGCUGAGAUGGGCCUCCGGGGGCCUGUGACCCUUUGAAAUGGUGAGCACGCUGAAGAGAUCACAGCUCUAUGAGGGGCUAUGUCACACGACAGGUCCUAUGGAGCACUAAUGCCCUUCUGGUCUUCACAAAGUUAAUCAGAUCUCUUUCUUACAGACCUUUUCAGAGCCUUUAAUAUGCUAAUAAACUCUGGGAUUCCCAGAGGGGAUUAAGAGUGCUGAGUUGCCCAGUGGUAUUGACCAGGGGAUGCUUUUAUCAGUGACUAUUUUGUGGCAUUCUUGGUCUGCAGGACACACUGACGUGGAAUCAGGUCACAAACUGCUGUCUCACAGGUCAAAUCCAGCUUCAGAUAUUUUUCACUAGGCCAUUGUAGGGUUUUAAAAGGCAAUAACUCUUACUUAAACAUUUUUAUUUUUAUUUUUUAAUUUUUAUUUAUUUAUUUAUUUUUUUGAGACAGAGUCUCGCUCUAUCGCCCAGGCUGGAGUGUAGUGGGGCGAUCUUGGCUCGCUGCAACCUCCACCUCCUGGGUUCAAGCGAUUCUCCUGCCUCAGCCUCCCAAGUAGCUGGGACUACAGGGCCCACGUCACCAGACCCGGCUGAUUUUUUUUUAUUUUUAGUAGAGACGGAUUUCAUGUUAGCCAAGAUGGUCUCCAUAUCCUGACCUCAUGAUCCGCCCACUUCGGCCUCCCAAAGUGCUGGGAUUACAGGCGUGAGCCACCGUGCCCGGCCAAACAUUUUUAAAAACUAAACUUGCAGUUUUGCUCUAAGAAAUAAGAAGUGUGCAUUCUGGGCCCACAUUCCUGCCUGGCGAUAACUGUAGAGCAGGAAGGGCCUUUGCUCUGCUGUUUGCCACAGUUCCCACCAUGCCCUACUGCCUUGCACUCUGUUCAGUUAUAUAUUUACCUUCCUUGUCUGGCCCUAAGCCUUCUCAGUUUGCUAGCAGCGACCCAGAAUGUCACCUGCCAUCCCAGCAAGCUGAGCUUUGCCCUGGAGGGGCAUAUGAAUGUCUGAAUCUCCUUACUGGCUCGGACAUUUUCUAGGGAAGGAAGGGACCCCGAGGGAUGGCUCCAGGGAAGGGUGUCUGGGCUUGCCUGGGGAGAGCAAACAGCUCCAGUGACAGCCCCCAGCCUGGGCAGGAUAAAGGGGAAGGGAGAGAAAGGGGCAGCUCAAAUUUCCUUUUAGAGGUCUUUUUGCUGUGGGGGAGCAGGGGAGUGAAGGGGAAGGUUGGGGGUAGGGAGGUGGGUGGGGGUAGGGAGGAGGAACAGGGCCUGAGACUGGCUCAUACCUCCCCAGAAGCUAAUUGUUUUGCCUCCUUCUGUGUGAGAGGUCACAGCUGGGCACACUACUAGGGGGAAUCUUGAGGAGCUCACGGGCUGCAGCUGCUGACGCAGGGCUGUGACCACCUGGCUGGGGGCCUAGGGCUGGCAUAAAACUGGGCACAGGGUCUGGGUCAAAUUUCAGGAUCUACAUGGCCAGAAGUUCAAACUGAAACAGGAAUAUGAUUGUCCUGAGCUAUAAUUUGAAUGCUUCCUAUAUUAGUAUAGGUGUGUUAAGCCUUUAAUAAAAUUUCUUAUUUAAUUUAUUUUAUUUUAUUUUAUUUGAGACAGGGCCUUUUUCUGUAGCCUGGGCUGGAGGGCAGUGGUGUGAUCAUAGCCUACUGCAGCCUUGAACUCCUGGGCUCAAGUGCUCAGAUGAUCCUCCUGCCUUAGCCUUCCAAGUAGCUGGGGCUACAAGCACACACCACCACACCUGGCUCGUUUGUUUAUUUUUAUUUUUUUGUAGAUACAGAAUCUCACUAUGUUGCCCAGGCUGGUCUCAAACUCUUGGGCUCAAAUGAUUCUUCCUGCUUGGCCUUCCAAAGUGCUGGGAUUACAGACAUGAGCCACCGUGCCUGGCCACGUCAAGCCUUUUGCGUGCAGUAGAUGAGCGGUUCUCAAAGUGUGGCCCCUGGACCUGCAGCAUUAGUAUUACCUCGGAGCUCGUCAGUAACGCAAACUCUGAAUGAUAAUUGUGAAGGUGGGGUCCAGCAGUCUGUGUUUGGAGGAGCCCCAGAGAUGGUUCCUGUCUAGUUCAUUUCAUUCUCACCACUGUGAGGCAGGCAGUGCAGUGGCCUUGAUUUUGUAGAUGCAGAAACUGAGGCAGAAGGAGGCAAAGUGACUUGCUGUGAGGACUGGAGCCCAGGCUGGUGUCAACCCAGAGCCCCAGUCUGGGACCCGCCUUCCGUGGUCCUCCCUGAAGCCAUCACCUUUCCUGGACAAGCUCCUAAAUGGGCUCAGGGCUUGUACUCUCCAAGAAGCCUUCAUGGAGGCCCCCGUUCCUCAGUCUCUGGAACGUUCCUCUUGCUCCUUAAUCACUGGUGCCUCACACCCCUGUUAAAGCACGUUUCCUCCUGGCCCACAAGCUCUCGGGGGUCGGGGGCACACGUUUGGUUUGUCUUGUCCCCUUCUCCCCUGCCAGGUGUGCUCCUUCCAUGCCUGGCACCCACAGGCCUCAUGGUGAAUGGCAGAGCAAGAGGAGGCCGGCUGCAGACCCCACUUGGGGCUGUGUCUGGGCCGGGCUGGGGGCGGCUGUGUGAAAGGCCGUCCUGUUUGAGCUGCUGCUGCUGUUCACGCCCGGCCCAUGUGCUCAUGUCCUGUGUGGGGCUUAGGUAAUGGGGCAGCAGGUGGCGGAACAGGGACCCGGGUGAGGCUGGCCCAGCCCUGCUGCAGGAUGAGCCGACUUUUCCAGGCCCCACUGAGUGCCGGUUCCUCCCACCGUCUGGCCCAGGUGCCAACACAAACAUGGGGCUCUUCCCUCCGGGGCUCUGGCUGUGGAGACCAGGGUCAGAAAACGGCACACAGGGCUCCCUUCACCUUGCCCAUGGGGAUUAACCCUUUGUACCCUGCUCUGACCUUAGGCCUGGGACACUGCAGAAGGGCAGUUGAAGCCAGGUGACUCGGUUUCCCCCAGGGCUCCACAGGCUUCUGGGGAUCUGGGGAGGUCACAGUGCUCUGUGUUUCUCAGGGCAUUGCUUGUUCACCUCCUCACCUGGCAGAUGGGGAAACUGAGACCUAGAAAAGAGAAGGUGGUCUCUUGCGGGGACUCUGUGAGCCCCCAGUUUCUACCCCGCUUCUCGUCUGUACGUUGGGCAUGGAAGCAGGAAUUCUGGACACACUAAACUGUUAGUUAGAGACCAUCAAACCACGAUCAUUCUGCCUGUGGGGAAGCUGAGGCGCAGAGAGGAAAAGGAACGUACCCAAGUUCCCAUCGCUGGUUGGCUGUGGGGCAAGGAUGAUGACGAUGAUGAUGAUGACGACGACAACCAUAAGAAUAAAAACCAACAGUUCUCGUGCUUAUUGUGCACUGGGGCCUGUUCUAAGUACUUUAUGAUCACCGACUCAUUUAGUCUUUACAAUAGCCCCAGGAGGUAGGAAUUUAUUAGUAUCCGCAUUUGACAGAUGAAGGGACUGAGGCACAGACAGGUUAAGUCACUUACUGAGGGUCACACAGCUAAUCUGUAGUGGAUCCAUG
This 6322-nucleotide long non-coding RNA is filed under the name Homo sapiens (human). Its description in RNAcentral is "HSALNT0276556". The stretch from base 1564 to 1711 matches the Rfam family "Metazoan signal recognition particle RNA". Lineage: Eukaryota; Metazoa; Chordata; Mammalia; Primates; Hominidae. The record is from RNAcentral.